GCGGGGUAACGGCCCACCAAGGCGACGACGGGUAGCUGGUCUGAGAGGACGACCAGCCACACUGGGACUGAGACACGGCCCAGACUCCUACGGGAGGCAGCAGUAGGGAAUCUUGCUCAAUGGGCGAAAGCCUGAAGCAGCGACGCCGCGUGCGGGAUGAAGGCCCUCGGGUCGUAAACCGCUUUCAGCAGGAACGAAUCUGACGGUACCUGCAGAAGAAGGCCCGGCCAACUACGUGCCAGCAGCCGCGGUAAUACGUAGGGGCCUAGCGUUGUCCGGAAUUAUUGAGCGUAAAGAGCUCGUAGGCGGUUCGGUAAGUCAGGUGUGAAAUCUCCGCGCUCAACGCGGAGGGGCCACCUGAUACUGCCGUGACUCGAGUCCGGUAGGGGAGUGUGGAAUUCCCGGUGUAGCGGUGAAAUGCGCAGAGAUCGGGAGGAACACCAGUGGCGAAGGCGGCACUCUGGGCCGGAACUGACGCUGAGGAGCGAAAGCGUGGGUAGCAAACAGGAUUAGAUACCCUGGUAGUCCACGCCGUAAACGUUGGGCACUAGGUGUGGGACCCUAUCGACGGGUUCCGUGCCGUAGCUAACGCAUUAAGUG
This 600-nucleotide ribosomal RNA is filed under the name uncultured Actinomycetes bacterium. RNAcentral describes it as "bacterial SSU rRNA". It matches the Rfam family "Bacterial small subunit ribosomal RNA", at positions 252 to 866 of the family's 1533-position model. Lineage: Bacteria; Bacillati; Actinomycetota; Actinomycetes. The record is from RNAcentral.